RNAcentral lists this ribosomal RNA (508 nucleotides) under Echinostoma sp. 3932-17. RNAcentral's name for it is "SSU rRNA". It matches the Rfam family "Eukaryotic small subunit ribosomal RNA", at positions 520 to 941 of the family's 1831-position model. The record is from RNAcentral. Lineage: Eukaryota; Metazoa; Platyhelminthes; Trematoda; Plagiorchiida; Echinostomatidae.
ACAAUUUAAAUCCUUUAACGAGGAUCAACUGGAGGGCAAGUCUGGUGCCAGCAGCCGCGGUAACUCCAGCUCCAGAAGCGUAUAUUAAAGUUGUUGCAGUUAAAAAGCUCGUAGUUGGAUCUGGGUCGCAUGGCUACGUGCCGUAGCUCGUUGGUGGGGCCUGGUUACGACCGGGUCACGCCUGCGAGUCGGUCUAGUGGUUGUGCUUCCUUUCUGCUGUGUCUGUUUACAGGUGUCAGCGUGACUGGUGGGCUCGCCUGCUGGUCUGUUGGCAUGCUUCUUGAUGCCUUUAAACGGGUGUCGGAGGCGGACAGCACGUUUACUUUGAACAAAUUUGAGUGCUCAAAGCAGGCCUUUGUGCCUGAAAAUUCUUGCAUGGAAUAAUGGAAUAGGACUUCGGUUCUAUUUUGUUGGUUUUCGGAUCCGAAGUAAUGGUUAAGAGGGACAGACGGGGGCAUUUGUAUGGCGGUGUUAGAGGUGAAAUUCUUGGAUCGCCGCCAGACAAACU